CGUAGGUGAACCUGCGGAGGGAUCAUUGCUGGAACGCGCCCCAGGCGCACCCAGAAACCCUUUGUGAACUUAUACCUUUUGUUGCCUCGGCGCAUGCUGGCCUCUAGUAGGCCCCUCACCCCGGUGAGGAGCAGGCACGCCGGCGGCCAAGUUAACUCUUGUUUUUACACUGAAACUCUGAGAAAAAACACAAAUGAAUCAAAACUUUCAACAACGGAUCUCUUGGUUCUGGCAUCGAUGAAGAACGCAGCGAAAUGCGAUAAGUAAUGUGAAUUGCAGAAUUCAGUGAAUCAUCGAAUCUUUGAACGCACAUUGCGCCCUCUGGUAUUCCGGAGGGCAUGCCUGUUCGAGCGUCAUUUCAACCCUCAAGCAUUGCUUGGUGUUGGGGCACUGCUUUUAACGAAGCAGGCCCUGAAAUCUAGUGGCGAGCUCGCCAGGACCCCGAGCGCAGUAGUUAAACCCUCGCUCUGGAAGGCCCUGGCGGUGCCCUGCCGUUAAACCCCCAACUUCUGAAAAUUUGACCUCGGAUCAGGUAGGAAUACCCGCUGAACUUAAGCAUAUCAAUAAGCGGAGGAA
Molecule: ribosomal RNA, 576 nt
Filed under: Diaporthe sp. 97PG/T
Lineage: Eukaryota; Fungi; Ascomycota; Sordariomycetes; Diaporthales; Diaporthaceae
Description: eukaryotic LSU rRNA
Rfam family: 5.8S ribosomal RNA (bases 203-356)
Source: RNAcentral